AGAGUUUGAUCCUGGCUCAGAGCGAACGCUGGCGGCGUGCUUAACACAUGCAAGUCGAACGUGAAAAGGGGCAACCCUGAGUAAAGUGGCGUACGGGUGAGUAACACGUAGGUAAUCUACCCUAGUGUCCGGGAAUAACCUGCCGAAAGGCGGGCUAAUACGGGAUAGAGCGAGGAAUCCGUAAUUGGGUUUUUCGGGAAAGGGAGCUCGCAAGAGCCCUCGCACCAGGAUGAGCCUGCGUCCCAUCAGCUAGUUGGUGAGGUAAAAGCUUACCAAGGCAAUGACGGGUAGCUGGUCUGAGAGGAUGAUCAGCCACACUGGAACUGAAACACGGUCCAGACUCCUACGGGAGGCAGCAGUGGGGAAUCUUGCGCAAUGGACGAAAGUCUGACGCAGCCACGCCGCGUGAGUGAAGAAGGCCUUCGGGUUGUAAAGCUCUGUCGGACGAGACGAAAACCCUUUAGGUGAAUAGCCUAGAGGCUUGACGGUACCGUCAAAGGAAGCACCGGCUAACUCCGUGCCAGCAGCCGCGGUAAUACGGAGGGUGCAAGCGUUGCUCGGAAUUAUUGGGCGUAAAGGGCAGGUAGGUGGUCUCGUUUGUCAGGGGUGAAAGCCUUGGGCUUAACCCAAGAAGUGCCUCUGAAACGGCGAGACUGGAGUACUGGAGAGGAGUGGAAUUCCCGGUGUAGCGGUGAAAUGCGUAGAGAUCGGGAGGAACACCAGAGGCGAAGGCGGCUCACUGGACAGUAACUGACACUCAACUGCGAAAGCGUGGGGAGCAAACAGGAUUAGAUACCCUAGUAGUCC
This 807-nucleotide ribosomal RNA is filed under the name uncultured bacterium. Its description in RNAcentral is "bacterial SSU rRNA". It matches the Rfam family "Bacterial small subunit ribosomal RNA", at positions 8 to 796 of the family's 1533-position model. The record is from RNAcentral.